GACGAACGCUGGCGGCGUGCCUAACACAUGCAAGUCGAACGCUGAAGGAGGAUCUUGCUCUUCUGGAUGAGUUGCGAACGGGUGAGUAACGCGUAGGUAACCUGCCUGGUAGCGGGGGAUAACUAUUGGAAACGAUAGCUAAUACCGCAUAACAGUAGAUGUUGCAUGACAUUUACUAAAAAGGUGCAAUUGCAUCACUACCAGAUGGUCCUGGGUUGUAUUAGCUGGUGGGUGGGGUAACGGCUCACCCAGGCGGCCAUACAUAGCCGGCCGGGGAGGGUGGUCGGCCGCCCUGGGAGGGGAACAGGGCCCAGGGGACUGCGGGAGGGAGCAGACGGGAACCGUCGGCAACGGAGGGGAGUCUUGCCGAAGGAGGGCGAGGCGGAGGAAGAGGGUCUGCGGGCGGGAAGAUCGGUUGUGGGGGGAGAACGGGUGUGAGAGUGGGAAGUGCACGUUGUGACGGUACCUGAAGAAGAAGCACCGGCUAACUACGUG
RNAcentral lists this ribosomal RNA (495 nucleotides) under uncultured bacterium. RNAcentral describes it as "partial 16S ribosomal RNA". It matches the Rfam family "Bacterial small subunit ribosomal RNA", at positions 28 to 507 of the family's 1533-position model. The record is from RNAcentral.